This 615-nucleotide long non-coding RNA is filed under the name Lathyrus oleraceus (garden pea). Its description in RNAcentral is "Pisum sativum (pea) long non-coding RNA (PSAT_LNC036636)". The record is from RNAcentral. Lineage: Eukaryota; Viridiplantae; Streptophyta; Magnoliopsida; Fabales; Fabaceae.
UGACAAAUAAAAUAUAUGUUAAAAAUAUUAUAUAAGUUUCAUACAUUAUAAAUUGAUCAAAUCACAUCUUAUUUGUUGCAUGCAAAUUAAAAUAAAAAAUAUGGAUAAAAUUCUCAUGUUCGUUUAUGUCAUAGUUUUAUUUCUUUUAUUAUUUCUUGUUGAAAAGAAUGUUGACGGUAAGUCUUUUUUUUUUUUUUAAUUUUCUUCUUUAAUUUUUAGAUUUUUAUCCAAUAUUUUAUCAAUUUUAGUAACACUAUGGUAUUCACUUUUUUUCAAUACAGCAAUAAAUUGUGAAACUGACGCUGAUUGUCCACAAGUUCCAAUCUUGCAUCCUAUGGUUAUGGUUUAUAGGUGCAUGAACAACAAUUGUGUAUUUGAUAGAGGGGAACGGAAGCCACUUAUUGUAUGAGUAUGAUACCCCAAGAGCUUACAUACUCCAGACAGAAAAUAAUGAAUUCUUGCACUUGAAACAGUUCAACCCAAUAAUUGUAUGUUUAUUUUUUUUAUAUAUGGUAAAAUAAUGUAUUUUGAAAUUAUGACUUUGUAUUCUACAAUAAAAUAAAAUAAAAUAAAAUAAAGCACUAAAUAAUAUUUGUAGGUGUUUAAUUGGCUGCA